RNAcentral lists this non-coding RNA (70 nucleotides) under Schistosoma margrebowiei. Lineage: Eukaryota; Metazoa; Platyhelminthes; Trematoda; Strigeidida; Schistosomatidae. The record is from RNAcentral.
AAAAUAACUCCGCCUGUAACUCUUACAGGGUUACUGCCGGUUCCAAGCCCGGGUAAAGGAGGAGGGUUGA